UUCCGGUUGAUCCCGCCGGAGGUCAUUGCUAUCGGAGUCCGAUUUAGCCAUGCUAGUCGUGCGAGUUCAUACUCGCGGCACCGAGCUCAGUAACACGUGGCCAAACUACCCUACAGAGACGGAUACCCUCGGGAAACUGAGGCUAACCCGUCAUACCGAUCUCAGGCUUGAAUCGCAGAGAUCACCAAAUGCCCCGGCGCUGUAGGAUGUGGCUGCGGUUGAUUAGGUUGACGGUGGGGUAACGGCCCACCGUGCCCAUAAUCAGUACAGGUUGUGAGAGCAAGAACCUGGAGACGGAAUCUGAGACAAGAUUCCGGGCCCUACGGGGCGCAGCAGGCGCGAAACCUUUACACUGCACGCACGUGCGAUAAGGGGACUCCGAGUGCGAGGGCAUAUCGUCCUCGCUUUCGUGUACCGUAGGGUGGUACACCAACAAGGGCUGGGCAAGACCGGUGCCAGCCGCCGCGGUAAUACCGGCAGCCCAAGUGAUGACCGAUCUUAUUGGGCCUAAAGCGUCCGUAGCUGGCUACGCAAGUCCGUCGGGAAAUCCACUCGCCCAACGAGUGGGCGUCCGACGGAAACUGCAUAGCUUGGGACCGGAAGGCUCGAAGGGUACGUGCGGGGUAGGAGUGAAAUCCUAUAAUCCCGCACGGACCACCGAUGGCGAAAGCACUUCGAGAAAACGGAUCCGACAGUGAGGGACGAAAGCCAGGGUCUCCAACCGGAUUAGAUACCCGGGUAGUCCUGGCCGUAAACAAUGUUCGCUAGGUAUG
RNAcentral lists this ribosomal RNA (773 nucleotides) under uncultured archaeon. RNAcentral's name for it is "bacterial SSU rRNA". It matches the Rfam family "Archaeal small subunit ribosomal RNA", at positions 1 to 775 of the family's 1478-position model. The record is from RNAcentral.